RNAcentral lists this ribosomal RNA (503 nucleotides) under uncultured bacterium. Its description in RNAcentral is "partial 16S ribosomal RNA". It matches the Rfam family "Bacterial small subunit ribosomal RNA", at positions 29 to 523 of the family's 1533-position model. The record is from RNAcentral.
AACGAACGCUGGCGGCGUGUUUAAGACAUGCAAGUCGCACGGGAUAAGACGUGUAGUAAUACUUGUUUUAUUUAGUGGCGCACGGGUGAGUAACACGUGAAUUACAUGCCCUAUUGUGGGGAAUAGCCCAGGGAAACUUGGAUUAAUACCCCAUGGUAUCGAAAGAUUAAAGGUGGCCGCAAGGCUGUCGCUAUAGGAUUGGUUCGCGCCCUAUCAGCUUGUUGGUGAGGUAACGGCUCACCAAGGCAAUGACGGGUACCUGGUCUGAGAGGACGAUCAGGCACACUGGAACUGAGACACGGUCCAGACACCUACGGGUGGCAGCAGUCGAAAAUAAUUCACAAUGGGGGCAACCCUGAUGGUGCAACGCCGCGUGGAGGAUGACGGUCUUCGGAUUGUAAACUCCUGUCAUCUGGGAGAAAGACCUGACGGUAAAUAGCCGGCAGGGUUGAUAGUACCAGAAGAGGAAGGGACGGCUAACUUCGUGCCAGCAGCCGCCGUAA